UACAGAGGUCUCAAGCGUUGUUCGGAUUCAUUGGGCGUAAAGGGCGCGUAGGCGGCGGGGUCAGUCGGGUGUGAAAUCUUGGGGCUUAACCCCGAAACGGCACUCGAAACUGCCCGGCUGGAGGGCCGGAGAGGAGAUCGGAAUUCACGGUGUAGCAGUGAAAUGCGUAGAUAUCGGGAAGAACACCCGUGGCGAAGGCGGUUCUCUGGGACGGUACUGACGCUGAGACGCGAAAGCGUGGGGAGCGAACAGG
Molecule: ribosomal RNA, 253 nt
Filed under: uncultured bacterium
Lineage: Bacteria
Description: partial 16S ribosomal RNA
Rfam family: Bacterial small subunit ribosomal RNA
Source: RNAcentral